UACGUAGGGUGCAAGCGUUGUCCGGAAUUAUUGGGCGUAAAGAGCUCGUAGGCGGUCUGUUGCGUCGGCUGUGAAAACCCGGGGCUCAACUCCGGGCCUGCAGCCGAUACGGGCAGACUAGAGUUCGGCAGGGGAGACUGGAAUUCCUGGUGUAGCGGUGAAAUGCGCAGAUAUCAGGAGGAACACCCGGUGGCGAAGGCGGGGUCUCUGGGGCCGAUACUGACGCUGGAGGUGCGAAAGCCGUGGGGAGCAA
This 253-nucleotide ribosomal RNA is filed under the name uncultured bacterium. RNAcentral's name for it is "partial 16S ribosomal RNA". It matches the Rfam family "Bacterial small subunit ribosomal RNA", at positions 524 to 771 of the family's 1533-position model. The record is from RNAcentral.